AUUAAUAAGCGGAGGAAAAGAAACUAACAAGGAUUCCCUUAGUAACGGCGAGUGAAGCGGGAUAAGCCCAGCACCGAAUCCUCCGCUCAGACGGGCGGCGGGAACUGUGGUGUUAAGGACAGCCUAUGGGGAUCGUUCGGGAGUCCGAGUCCUCCUGAUCGGGGCUUCACCCAGAGCGGGUGUCAGGCCUCUACGGCGCCCGGCCGGUCCUCUCAGGUCGUCCUAGGAGUCGGGUUGUUUGAGAUUGCAGCCCAAAGCGGGUGGUAAACUCCAUCUAAGGCUAAAUACAGACACGAGUCCGAUAGCGCACAAGUACCGUGAGGGAAAGUU
Molecule: ribosomal RNA, 330 nt
Filed under: Enchytraeus coronatus
Lineage: Eukaryota; Metazoa; Annelida; Clitellata; Enchytraeida; Enchytraeidae
Description: eukaryotic LSU rRNA
Rfam family: Eukaryotic large subunit ribosomal RNA
Source: RNAcentral